This 274-nucleotide ribosomal RNA is filed under the name uncultured bacterium. RNAcentral describes it as "partial 16S ribosomal RNA". It matches the Rfam family "Bacterial small subunit ribosomal RNA", at positions 523 to 796 of the family's 1533-position model. The record is from RNAcentral.
AUACGGAGGGGGCUAGCGUUGUUCGGAAUUACUGGGCGUAAAGCGUACGUAGGCGGACUGAUCAGUUGGGGGUGAAAUCCCAGGGCUUAACCCUGGAACUGCCUUCAAUACUGUCAGUCUUGAGAUUGGAAGAGGUGAGUGGAAUUCCUAGUGUAGAGGUGAAAUUCAUAGAUAUUAGGAGGAACACCAGUGGCGAAGGCGGCUCACUGGUCCAAUUCUGACGCUGAGGUACGAAAGCGUGGGGAGCAAACAGGAUUAGAAACCCUAGUAGUCC